UACGUAGGGGCCUAGCGUUGUCCGGAUUUAUUGGGCGUAAAGAGCUCGUAGGCGGUUCGGCAAGUCGGAUGUGAAAUCUCCACGCUCAACGUGGAGGGGCCAUUCGAAACUGCCGUGACUCGAGUCCGGUAGGGGAGUGUGGAAUUCCCGGUGUAGCGGUGAAAUGCGCAGAUAUCGAGAGGAACAUCGGUGGCGAAGGCGGCCUUCUGGACGGUGACUGACGCUGAGAUGCGAAAGCGUGGGGAGCAAACAGG
Molecule: ribosomal RNA, 254 nt
Filed under: uncultured bacterium
Lineage: Bacteria
Description: partial 16S ribosomal RNA
Rfam family: Bacterial small subunit ribosomal RNA
Source: RNAcentral